RNAcentral lists this ribosomal RNA (253 nucleotides) under uncultured prokaryote. RNAcentral describes it as "partial 16S ribosomal RNA". It matches the Rfam family "Bacterial small subunit ribosomal RNA", at positions 524 to 776 of the family's 1533-position model. The record is from RNAcentral.
AACGUAGGAGACAAACGUUAUCCGGAAUUACUGGGCGUAAAGCGUGCGCAGGCGGUCUUGCAAGACAGAUGUGAAAUCCCCGGGCUCAACCUGGGAACUGCAUUUGUGACUGCAAGGCUGGAGUGCGGCAGAGGGGGAUGGAAUUCCGCGUGUAGCAGUGAAAUGCGUAGAUAUGCGGAGGAACACCGAUGGCGAAGGCAAUCCCCUGGGCCUGCACUGACGCUCAUGCACGAAAGCGUGGGGAGCAAACAGG